Callithrix jacchus (white-tufted-ear marmoset) is the source of this 301-nucleotide unclassified non-coding RNA. It matches the Rfam family "Metazoan signal recognition particle RNA". Rfam says of the family: The signal recognition particle (SRP) is a universally conserved ribonucleoprotein. It is involved in the co-translational targeting of proteins to membranes. The record is from Ensembl. Lineage: Eukaryota; Metazoa; Chordata; Mammalia; Primates; Cebidae.
GCCAGGCACAGUGGAGUGUCCCUGUGGUCCCAGCUACUCAGGAGGCUGAGGCUGGAGGAUCGCUUGAAUCUAGGAGUUCUGGGCUGUAGUGUGCUAUGCUGAUUGGGUGUCUGCACUAAGUUUAGCAUCAAUAUGGUGACUUCUGGGAGCGGGGGACCACCAGGUUGCCUAAGCAGGGGUGAAAUGGAGCCCAGGUGGGAAAUGGAGCAGGUCAAAGCUCCUGCACUGCUCAGUAGUCGGAUCAUGCCUGUGAAUAGCCACUGCACUCCAGCCUGGGCAACAUAGCGAGACCCCGUCUCUU